This 72-nucleotide transfer RNA is filed under the name Ictidomys tridecemlineatus (thirteen-lined ground squirrel). RNAcentral's name for it is "Spermophilus tridecemlineatus (thirteen-lined ground squirrel) tRNA". It matches the Rfam family "tRNA". Rfam says of the family: Transfer RNA (tRNA) molecules are approximately 80 nucleotides in length. The record is from Rfam by way of RNAcentral. Lineage: Eukaryota; Metazoa; Chordata; Mammalia; Rodentia; Sciuridae.
GGAGUUGUGGCUCAUCGGUAGAGCGCUUGCCUCCUACAUGUGAGGCACUGGGUUCGAUUCCCAGCAUCACAU